GCGUAUAUUAAGUUGUUGCAGUUAAAAAGCUCGUAGUUGAAUUUCGGGGUCAGCAGGUUGGUCGUGCCACUGGUAUGAACUGGUUUCGCUGAUUCCUCCUUUCUGAAGAACUGUAAUGUCAUUAAUUUGGUGUUGCAGGGAAACAGGACUGUUGCUUUGAAAAAAUUAGAGUGUUUAAAGCAGGCUAACGCUUGAAUACAUUAGCAUGGAAUAAUGAAAUAGGACGUUCAAACCUAUUUUGUUGGUUUCCAGGAUUGACGUAAUGAUUAAUAGGGAUAGUUGGGGGCAUUAGUAUUCAAUUGUCAGAGGUGAAAUUCUUGGAUUUAUUGAAGACUAACUACUGCGAAAGCAUUUGCCAAGGAUGUUUUCAUUAAUCAAGAACGAAAGUUAGGGGAUCGAAGACGAUCAGAUACCGUCGUAGUCUUAACCAUAAA
This 434-nucleotide ribosomal RNA is filed under the name uncultured Glomus. RNAcentral's name for it is "SSU rRNA". It matches the Rfam family "Eukaryotic small subunit ribosomal RNA", at positions 597 to 1036 of the family's 1831-position model. The record is from RNAcentral. Lineage: Eukaryota; Fungi; Glomeromycota; Glomeromycetes; Glomerales; Glomeraceae.